Molecule: ribosomal RNA, 691 nt
Filed under: uncultured Clostridia bacterium
Lineage: Bacteria; Bacillati; Bacillota; Clostridia
Description: partial 16S ribosomal RNA
Rfam family: Bacterial small subunit ribosomal RNA
Source: RNAcentral
GGACGGGKUGAGUAACSSCUUGAGCAACCUCCCCUUCAGCGGSGGGAUAKCGUCUGGAAACGGACGGUAAUACCGCAUAAACGUGSGGAGGGAGACAUCUUUCWCUGCWCCAAMGGAUUUAUCCWCURAAGGAUGGGCUCGCGUCCGAUUAGGUAGUUGGCGGGGGUAACGGCCCMCCAAGCCCGCGAUCGGUAGCCGGMCUGAGAGGUUGAUCGGCCACAUUGGGACUGAGACACGGCCCAGACUCCUMCGGGAGGCAGCAGUGGGGGAUAUUGCACAAYGGAGGAARCUCUGAUGCAGCGACGCCGCGUGAGGGAAGAAGGUCUUCGGAUUGUAAACCUCYGUCUUWAAAGAMGAAGAAAGUGRCGGUACYUAAAGAGGAAGCCACGGCUAAYUACGUGCCAGCAGCCGCGGUAAUACGUAGGUGGCGAGCGUUGUCCGGAUUUAYUGGGUGUAAAGGGUGCGUAGGCGGGUUAUCAAGUUGGGUGUGAAACCUCCGUGCUUAACACGGAGCCUGCAUUCAAAACUGGUAAUCUUGAGUGAGGUAGAGGUAGAUGGAAUUCCCGGUGUAGCGGUGAAAUGCGUAGAGAUCGGGAGGAACACCAGUGGCGAAGGCGGUMUACUGGGCCUUAACUGACGMUGAGGCACGAAAGCAUCUGUAGCGAACAGGAUUAGAUACCCUGGUAGUCCA